This 465-nucleotide ribosomal RNA is filed under the name uncultured bacterium. RNAcentral's name for it is "partial 16S ribosomal RNA". It matches the Rfam family "Bacterial small subunit ribosomal RNA", at positions 28 to 507 of the family's 1533-position model. The record is from RNAcentral.
GACGAACGCUGGCGGCGUGCUUAACACAUGCAAGUCGAACGGAAAGGCCCCUUCGGGGGUACUCGAGUGGCGACCGGGUGCGUAACACGUGAGUAACCUGCCCUUGACUUCGGGAUAACUUCAGGAAACUGGGGCUAAUACCGGAUAGGAAUCCUUGCUGCAUGGUGGGGGUUGGAAAGCUUCGGCGGUUUUGGAUGGACUCGCGGCUUAUCAGCUUGUUGGUGGGGUAGUGGCUUACCAAGGCUUUGACGGGUAGCCGGCCUGAGAGGGCGACCGGCCACAUUGGGACUGAGAUGCGGCCCAGACUCCUACGGGAGGCAGCAGUGGGGAAUAUUGCACAAUGGGCGGAAGCCUGAUGCAGCAACGCCGCGUGCGGGAUGACGGCCUUCGGGUUGUAAACCGCUUUCAGCAGGGGCGAAGCUUGUGGUGACGGUACCUGCAGAAGAAGCACCGGCUAACUACGUG